GCGUCUGCGGCAGGCCUACACAUGCAAGUCGAGCGGAUGAAAGGAGCUUGCUCCUGGAUUCAGCGGCGGACGGGUGAGUAAUGCCUAGGAAUCUGCCUGGUAGUGGGGGACAACGUUUCGAAAGGAACGCUAAUACCGCAUACGUCCUACGGGAGAAAGCAGGGGACCUUCGGGCCUUGCGCUAUCAGAUGAGCCUAGGUCGGAUUAGCUAGUUGGUGAGGUAAUGGCUCACCAAGGCGACGAUCCGUAACUGGUCUGAGAGGAUGAUCAGUCACACUGGAACUGAGACACGGUCCAGACUCCUACGGGAGGCAGCAGUGGGGAAUAUUGGACAAUGGGCGAAAGCCUGAUCCAGCCAUGCCGCGUGUGUGAAGAAGGUCUUCGGAUUGUAAAGCACUUUAAGUUGGGAGGAAGGGCAGUAAAUUAAUACUUUGCUGUUUUGACGUUACCGACAGAAUAAGCACCGGCUAACUCUGUGCCAGCAGCCGCGGUAAUACAGAGGGUGCAAGCGUUAAUC
RNAcentral lists this ribosomal RNA (517 nucleotides) under Pseudomonas sp. LS48. Its description in RNAcentral is "bacterial SSU rRNA". It matches the Rfam family "Bacterial small subunit ribosomal RNA", at positions 33 to 546 of the family's 1533-position model. The record is from RNAcentral. Lineage: Bacteria; Pseudomonadati; Pseudomonadota; Gammaproteobacteria; Pseudomonadales; Pseudomonadaceae.